RNAcentral lists this ribosomal RNA (154 nucleotides) under uncultured bacterium. RNAcentral's name for it is "partial 16S ribosomal RNA". It matches the Rfam family "Bacterial small subunit ribosomal RNA", at positions 1339 to 1500 of the family's 1533-position model. The record is from RNAcentral.
UAAUCGCGCAUCAGCCAUGGCGCGGUGAAUACGUUCCCGGGCCUUGUACACACCGCCCGUCAAGCCAUGGAAGCUGGGGGUGCCUGAAGUUCGUGACCGGAAGGAGCGACCUAGGGCAAAACCGGUGACUGGGGCUAAGUCGUAACAAGGUAGC